This 484-nucleotide ribosomal RNA is filed under the name uncultured bacterium. RNAcentral's name for it is "partial 16S ribosomal RNA". It matches the Rfam family "Bacterial small subunit ribosomal RNA", at positions 30 to 507 of the family's 1533-position model. The record is from RNAcentral.
AUUGAACGCUGGCGGCAGGCCUAACACAUGCAAGUCGAGCGGAUGAAGGGAGCUUGCUCCUGGAUUCAGCGGCGGACGGGUGAGUAAUGCCUAGGAAUCUGCCUGGUAGUGGGGGAUAACGUCCGGAAACGGGCGCUAAUACCGCAUACGUCCUGAGGUAGAAAGUGGGGGAUCUUCGGACCUCACGCUAUCAGAUGAGCCUAGGUCGGAUUAGCUAGUUGGUGGGGUAAAGGCCUACCAAGGCGACGAUCCGUAACUGGUCUGAGAGGAUGAUCAGUCACACUGGAAGUGAGACACGGUCCAGACUCCUACGGGAGGCAGCAGUGGGGAAUAUUGGACAAUGGGCGAAAGCCUGAUCCAGCCAUGCCGCGUGUGUGAAGAAGGUCUUCGGAUUGUAAAGCACUUUAAGUUGGGAGGAAGGGCAGUAAGUUAAUACCUUGCUGUUUUGACGUUACCAACAGAAUAAGCACCGGCUAACUUCGUG